Molecule: ribosomal RNA, 188 nt
Filed under: uncultured Bacteroidales bacterium
Lineage: Bacteria; Pseudomonadati; Bacteroidota; Bacteroidia; Bacteroidales
Description: partial 16S ribosomal RNA
Rfam family: Bacterial small subunit ribosomal RNA
Source: RNAcentral
UCCUACGGGAGGCAGCAGUGAGGAAUAUUGGUCAAUGGAUGAGAAUCUGAACCAGCCAAGUAGCGUGAAGGAUGACUGCCCUAUGGGUUGUAAACUUCUUUUAUAAGGGAAUAAAGUUGGCUAUGUGUCCUCAUUUGUAUGUACCUUAAGAAAAAGCAUCGGCUAACUCCAUGCCAGCAGCCGCGGUA